UUAAAGGAAAAGUAAUCAACUUAACAUAAAUCGCAAGAUGCAAUUUCACUGUGUCGGACGCCACCAUACGUUCUAGGUUGAAGUAGACAUUCCUGAUGAUCUUUGUAUAGCGUGAUUGAUACAGCUAUUGAUGUAUUCCGAAAUAUUUAAAAAGGCGUGAAUGAAGAAGCUAACCUACGAGGCAAGUGCACUGAUCUGUAACGUGUUUUUUUGUUUUUCUUAAUCGAAGUCUCGUAGAUUUGACUCGCAGUAUGACGCGAUGGUGAAUUUCACGAGCACGAACUGUGUUGGGAGGGAGGUGUCAAGCCCUGAGGCUGAAUUUCGGCCAAUUAAAGUCGUCGACCCCCUUUGCAAUACGUCAGUCCGCUAAGGGAGGGCUCUGAGCUUGAGCGAUGUGUGCGGUUUCUAUGGCAACCACUUGUCCUUACCUCCCCAUCCUCCUCAGGCAAGAUUGGUUUCCAUGGGACAACCUCAUCCAGUUGGGCACCAAUCACCCAUGAAUCUCCAGCAGCAGUGGGGGAGCAGGAAAUAGAACGGAAGGCGUUAACCCGAUAAGACCACUGUUGCAGACCAGGGACAUUCUGCAUCUCUUCUUUCUCCCCCUUUCUCUUUCUCUCUCUGUCACUCUGUAUCUCUCCAUUCUUCUAUCUCCUUACAGUGGCUACAGGCUCUUACAUAAGCCAGUUGGAUAUUUUCAGCCUCUCAGCAAAGAUGCAGUCAAGUUGAAGAGAACACAUUAAAUAUUUCAUUUUUUCUCCUCCCCAACCUGUCUAGUUGGGAUGUAUCAACAUUAUAAUACUACGUUGUUUUUAUCUGUAUCUCCAUGCCUUGUUUUAUGAUGGCAGGCAUAUUUUAUGCUUUUUCUGUUUAAAUGUGGGCCAAAGGAAGAAAACAGAUAGCGAAGGGAUGGCAACGGGAGGGAAGUGCUCUUCGAUUCUCUCUGCACAUUCUAUUCAGUAAACCGACCUACAUUUAAAGGCACCAAAGCCCUUUUAAAUGUUGUGUUAAAUAAUAACUUAGGAUUCUUAUUAAGACAGGUUAUUUUCAAUGUCUUCACUGCAUACUGUAUGAGGCUGAAGGUUGUGUGGUUGAAGAGCAACAUGUUAUGUUUACAUGCCACACUGCCUCUAUUGGUAUUUUACUCACUGCUGGAAGUCACAGAUGACUUUCAAAUGACUCGUUGUAAGAGGAUGUGAUGGCUUGGACUGAAUUCAUAUCUCUUACUCAAAGGUACAAUUACUGUAAACCCCAAUAAGUUAAGAUAACUCAAAAAUCGUGUUACUUCUUAAGAACACUAAACAAAUAAUAACAGUAAACUCAAAACAAUUAAUUUUGAAUAAACUUAAUUUUUCAUUUU
Molecule: long non-coding RNA, 1357 nt
Organism: Triplophysa dalaica
Lineage: Eukaryota; Metazoa; Chordata; Actinopteri; Cypriniformes; Nemacheilidae
Exons: 3
Source: RefSeq, a predicted model, not a curated record